CACCUGGGGAGUACGCCGCAAGGUUGAAACUCAAAGGAAUUGACGGGGGCCCGCACAAGCAGUGGAGUAUGUGGUUAAUUCGAAGCAACGCGAAGAACCUUACCAGGUCUUGACAUCGUAUGCAUAGUCUAGAGAUAGAUGAAACCUCUUCGGAGGCAUAUAGACAGGUGGUGCAUGGUUGUCGUCAGCUCGUGUCGUGAGAUGUUGGGUUAAGUCCCGCAACGAGCGCAACCCUUACCUUUAGUUGCUACGCAAGAGCACUCUAAAGGGACUGCCGUUGACAAAACGGAGGAAGGUGGGGAUGACGUCAAAUCAUCAUGCCCCUUAUGACCUGGGCUACACACGUACUACAAUGGCAAUUAACAAAGAGAAGCAAGACGGUGACGUGGAGCGAAUCUCGAAAAAUUGUCCCAGUUCAGAUUGCAGGCUGCAACUCGCCUGCAUGAAGUCGGAAUUGCUAGUAAUCGCGGAUCAGCAUGCCGCGGUGAAUACGUUCCCGGGCCUUGUACACACCGCCCGUCACACCAUGGGAGUCGGUAACACCCGAAGUCUGUAGUCUAACAGCAAUGAGGACGCAGCCGAAGGUGGGAUUGAUGACUGGGGUG
This 605-nucleotide ribosomal RNA is filed under the name uncultured rumen bacterium. RNAcentral's name for it is "bacterial SSU rRNA". It matches the Rfam family "Bacterial small subunit ribosomal RNA", at positions 870 to 1482 of the family's 1533-position model. The record is from RNAcentral.